Molecule: ribosomal RNA, 253 nt
Filed under: uncultured bacterium
Lineage: Bacteria
Description: partial 16S ribosomal RNA
Rfam family: Bacterial small subunit ribosomal RNA
Source: RNAcentral
UACGUAGGGGGCAAGCGUUGUCCGGAAUCAUUGGGCGUAAAGAGCGUGUAGGCGGCCCGGUAAGUCCGCUGUGAAAGUCCAGGGCUCAACCCUGGGAUGCCGGUGGAUACUGUCGGGCUCGAGUCCGGAAGAGGAGUGCGGAAUUCCUGGUGUAGCGGUGAAAUGCGCAGAUAUCAGGAGGAACACCAAUGGCGAAGGCAGCACUCUGGGACGUGACUGACGCUGAGACGCGAAAGCGUGGGGAGCAAACAGG